AAUACGUAGGGGGCAAGCGUUGUCCGGAUUUAUUGGGCGUAAAGAGCGUGUAGGCGGCCAAGCAGGUCCGCUGUGAAAACUCGAGGCUCAACCUCGAGACGUCGGUGGAAACCGUUUGGCUAGAGUCCGGAAGAGGAGAGUGGAAUUCCCGGUGUAGCGGUGAAAUGCGCAGAUAUCGGGAAGAACACCCGUGGCGAAGGCGGCUCUCUGGGACGGUACUGACGCUGAGACGCGAAAGCGUGGGGAGCGAACAG
RNAcentral lists this ribosomal RNA (254 nucleotides) under uncultured prokaryote. Its description in RNAcentral is "partial 16S ribosomal RNA". It matches the Rfam family "Bacterial small subunit ribosomal RNA", at positions 522 to 775 of the family's 1533-position model. The record is from RNAcentral.